RNAcentral lists this long non-coding RNA (870 nucleotides) under Salvia miltiorrhiza (redroot sage). RNAcentral describes it as "long non-coding RNA (SMIL_LNC009364)". The record is from RNAcentral. Lineage: Eukaryota; Viridiplantae; Streptophyta; Magnoliopsida; Lamiales; Lamiaceae.
GUUUAUGAAAUUAACAUGAAAAAUGAAUCGGCUGAAAAAUUAAUGUUGGGAAUUUUAUAGGAAAUCUAAAGGGAUGUUAAGAUUGUUGGAAAUGUAUAAGAUCAUCUCCAGUAAUACAUCCUCAUUUACAGAUUUUUGCUGACAUCUUCGAAGACACAUCACCAUAUUCUCCUUCUUUAUUUUCACCUCAACAAUAGUUACUUAAUUCAGAUUUUUGCUGACGUCAUUCUAGACCCACAUUUCAUCAAUUUUUAACUCACUUAAUAUUUAUUCACAUUUAAUUUAAAUUUCAUAUUUAUUGUUUAUAAAGUAUAUAAAUUUAUUAUUUUAUAAAUAUAUAGCGAAUAAUAAAUAUUUUUUAAAAAUAAAAACAUAAAACACAAAAGUCAAUUUAAAUUUAAGAAAUUAAAUAAAUUAAAUUGGCAACAAAAUAAAAAUAAAAUAAAAAAUUGCAUUAAAAAUGAAAUAAAAUGAAGGAAAAAAUGAAUAUAAAUUACAAACUAAAAAGAUGAAAAAAAAAAACACAAAUGAAAAGCAAAAGAGAAGAAAAGAAAGCAAAACAAAACUAAUCUCCUCUCUCACUCUUACGUGUUAGAGGUGGUAAAACCAACUAUCCUCUCUCCUUCAAUCACCUUCCCUAAAUUAAACCCCCCAAUAAUUAUUUUUGGGAUGCAUCCCCAAUGCAUUCCAUGGUUGGAGAUGCUCUGAUUGGAGAGAAGUUGAAGAGACAUGUAAUUAUUGACUUAUUUUAGCAUAACUUUUAUAAAAAAUAAUAUAAAAAUACUUAAUGUAAAUAAUGAGAGUAUUAUUUUUUGGAAAUGAAAUAAAAUAUCAUUGCAUGGGAGAAAGAGUUUUAGGCGGGAAAAAUUC